Molecule: ribosomal RNA, 468 nt
Filed under: uncultured bacterium
Lineage: Bacteria
Description: partial 16S ribosomal RNA
Rfam family: Bacterial small subunit ribosomal RNA
Source: RNAcentral
GACGAACGCUGGCGGCGUGCUUAACACAUGCAAGUCGAACGGAAAGGCCCUGCUUUUGUGGGGUGCUCGAGUGGCGAACGGGUGAGUAACACGUGAGUAACCUGCCCUUGACUUUGGGAUAACUUCAGGAAACUGGGGCUAAUACCGGAUAGGAGCUCCUGCUGCAUGGUGGGGGUUGGAAAGUUUCGGCGGGUGGGGCUGGACUCGCGGCUUAUCAGCUUGUUGGUGGGGGAGGUGCAUGCCAAGGAUGUGGCGGGUAGCCGGCAUGAGAGGGUGAACGGCCACCUUGGGCCUGAGAUACGGCCCAGAGUCCUACGGGAGGCAGCAGUGGGGAAUAUUGCACAAUGGGAGGAAGCCUGAUGCAGCAACGCCGCGUGCGGGAUGACGGCCUUCGGGUUGUAAACCGCUUUCGCCUGUGACGAAGCGUGAGUGACGGUAAUGGGUAAAGAAGCACCGGCUAACUACGUG